UGGGGAAUUUUGGACAAUGGGGGAAACCCUGAUCCAGCCAUCCCGCGUGUGCGAUGAAGGCCUUCGGGUUGUAAAGCACUUUUGGCAGGAAAGAAACGUCAUGGGUUAAUACCCCGUGAAACUGACGGUACCUGCAGAAUAAGCACCGGCUAACUACGUGCCAGCAGCCGCGGUAAAACGAAGGGUGCAAGCGUUAAUCGGAAUUACUGGGCGUAAAGCGUGCGCAGGCGGUUCGGAAAGAAAGAUGUGAAAUCCCAGAGCUCAACUGUGGAACUGCAUUUUUAACUACCCGGCUAUCUUGUGUCUGGGGGAGGUGGAAUUCCGCGUGUAGCAGUGCAAUGCGUCGUUAUCCGGAGGAACACCGAUGGCAAAGGCAGCCUCCUGGGAUAACUCUGACGCUCAUGCACGAAAGCGUGGGGAGCAAACAGG
This 429-nucleotide ribosomal RNA is filed under the name Acidobacteriota bacterium. RNAcentral describes it as "Acidobacteria bacterium partial 16S ribosomal RNA". It matches the Rfam family "Bacterial small subunit ribosomal RNA", at positions 355 to 776 of the family's 1533-position model. The record is from RNAcentral. Lineage: Bacteria; Pseudomonadati; Acidobacteriota.